GAUGAACGCUGGCGGCGUGCCUAAUACAUGCAAGUCGAGCGAACGGACGAGAAGCUUGCUUCUCUGAUGUUAGCGGCGGACGGGUGAGUAACACGUGGAUAACCUACCUAUAAGACUGGGAUAACUUCGGGAAACCGGAGCUAAUACCGGAUAAUAUUUUGAACCGCAUGGUUCAACAGUGAAAGACGGUCUUGCUGUCACUUAUAGAUGGAUCCGCGCCGCAUUAGCUAGUUGGUAAGGUAACGGCUUACCAAGGCAACGAUGCGUAGCCGACCUGAGAGGGUGAUCGGCCACACUGGAACUGAGACACGGUCCAGACUCCUACGGGAGGCAGCAGUAGGGAAUCUUCCGCAAUGGGCGAAAGCCUGACGGAGCAACGCCGCGUGAGUGAAGAAGGUCUUCGGAUCGUAAAACUCUGUUAUUAGGGAAGAACAAAUGUGUAAGUAACUAUGCACGUCUUGACGGUACCUAAUCAGAAAGCCACGGCUAACUACGUG
Molecule: ribosomal RNA, 497 nt
Filed under: uncultured bacterium
Lineage: Bacteria
Description: partial 16S ribosomal RNA
Rfam family: Bacterial small subunit ribosomal RNA
Source: RNAcentral